AGAGCGAACGCUGGCGGCAGGCCUAACACAUGCAAGUCGAACGCCCAGCAAUGGGAGUGGCAGACGGGAUAGUAACACGUGGGAACGCGCCCUUCGGUUCGGAAUAACUCAGGGAAACUUGAGCUAAAUACCGGAUACGCCCUUACGGGGAAAGAUUUAUUGCCGAAGGAACGGCCCGCGUCGGAUUAGCUAGUUGGUGAGGUAAUGGCUCACCAAGGCGACGAUCCGUAGCUGGUCUGAGAGGAUGACCAGCAUCACUGGGACUGAGACACGGCCCAGACUCCUACGGGAGGCAGCAGUGGGGAAUAUUGGACAAUGGGCGCAAGCCUGAUCCAGCCAUGCCGCGUGGAUGAUGAAGGCCCUAGGGUUGUAAAGUCCUUUUAACGGGAAGAUAAUGACGGUACCCGUAGAAUAAGCCCGGCUAACUUCGUGCCAGCAGCCGC
RNAcentral lists this ribosomal RNA (443 nucleotides) under uncultured bacterium. RNAcentral's name for it is "SSU rRNA". It matches the Rfam family "Bacterial small subunit ribosomal RNA", at positions 26 to 518 of the family's 1533-position model. The record is from RNAcentral.